Non-coding RNA from Chlorocebus sabaeus (green monkey), 1374 nucleotides. The record is from RefSeq and is a predicted model, not a curated record. Lineage: Eukaryota; Metazoa; Chordata; Mammalia; Primates; Cercopithecidae.
AAAAAAAAAAAAAAAAAAAAAGGUCUACAAAGUGUCCACUGUACAAGUCAUACACAGCUCCAUUGGAGAGAAAACUGGAUGGAACCAUUUGGCUGAAAAUCCAUGUCCAAGGCCAACAAGAAAGAGCUGAGACACUGCAGAAAGUGCAGGAAUAAAUAAAAGGUGGAGACAGACAGAGACCAGACAAGGAGGACUCAAUUACAGACUGGUAGAAGACUCAAGGAAGAAAAUGAAGGUGUCAAGGAAGAGACCAGGUGGAGCUGGACCUGUGAAGAACUGUCAAAACAGCUGUAGAGGAAUUGUGUUGGAGGCAAUAAUGGCCCCUUUAGUAUCAGAGAAUAGAAAGAUCUUGAAAACAAAGCCUGUUGUCAGGAGACUUGCACCCAUCCUGGCCUACUUCCAAGUGUGAGUAAGCAAUGGUCAACACUGACUUCUUAAACUGCGUAAGCCGCUUGAUGCUUUAUGGAUAACAAUCAAGGCUGGUUGACUGAGUGACUCAACUUCCCCAGAGAAACAAAAACAGAAACGAAGAUAUCCAUGGCACCUAAUGUUAUAAGGAGAAGAAAGCACUUGUAAUCACAAGGGUACUGAGAAAAGGUGAAACUGAAAUCAUUCAUUCAAAAAGUGUUUACUGAGUAGCUUCAAAGAGCAAAUAUUAGGUUAGAUGCAAUGGGUGAUGUAAGAAUAUUCAGACAACUAUUUCUCAUGGACUUUGCUUACUGAGCCAUCAACACACUGGCCACCUUUUUCUAGAUGAAGUAUCCCAUCAUUUGAUUCUGGAUUGAGAACUCUUUGAGAGCAGAGACCAUGGCUUCACCUGAGUAUCCCCAGAGCCUGAUGUUAGACAAUGUUUUUCAGCUAUGCAUGAAAAAGUUAAUCAAAAAAUAAAAUGAAAGACUGUGAUGGCUAAUCGAAGUCCCAUAGAUUUCUACACCAGCCUGUCUUUGGGGAUGAACACCAAAAUGUUACCUUCAAAGCAUCAUUAGAGUGUGCUUUGGAAGGACAUCGUGUUAGGAGAAUUGCUGAAUCCUGGCCUAUCUUCUAUCUGGAUCCCUUGCCUAGACUGUAGAUCUGAAUGCCAACUACUAGAACCAACACUGGCUGCGGUUUUGUGCAUGUUUUUCCUGAAGAGCUGACAUGUUGUCUUAGUUCAUUUCAAAUUCCUUCUUUGACAACCCUACUGCAAACCAAAAACAAUGUGAUAAAAUUUGUACCUUUAGUACCUAUUAUUUAUUAACCUUGAUAAAAAUCACCGAGUUGUUUCUUUGUUCUUUGGGAGAAGGAAAAUGUAUGGAAGAGGGAUGGAAGAUGAAAGAGCCCUGAAAUCAUCUGGAAGGGUUGGUGGCGGUGGGGGUGGUAGUAGUGGCAGAGGUA